CUCAACAUGUCUUGAAGUUCUCCAAAGUAAAUCCACCUGUGUUUGUGUGACUGCAUUACACUCCCACUGCUGUGGAACCUGAACAAUAACCAGAACAAAGUCUGAAAUAAAAACUGCCAAACAGCUGCACCACUGAGUCACACUUUAUUUUCUACGCUUGUAAAAAGGUUUCGUUUCUGAUCUGCAAUGAACGUCUGCACUCUGUCACACUCUGAAUGAAGUUCCGGCUUCUAUGUCACUGAAAUGCGACAAACCAGGAAACAGGAAGUUCUUCGUCCUCAGUAAAGAGACACGCACAGACGAUCAGACUGAGUUCAGACCAAACUAGCAGCUUCCUCUGAGUGAGUCCAGCUACAGGAGAGAAAAGUGGAAAACUCCAACACUGCUGCUUCAAGCUGCUGACGCUCCACACACUGAAGCUUCACUCACAGACUCAAUGGCUUCCAGAUCAGAGGAGGAUCUCUGCUGUCCGGUCUGUCAGGAGGUCUUCAGAGAUCCUGUUCUUCUGUCAUGUAGCCACAGCUUCUGUAAAGACUGUCUGAAGAGAUGGUGGAGAAAAAAACAGAUACGUGAGUGUCCAGUUUGUAAUAAAAUAUCAGUGUAUGAUCCACCUUUAAACCGAGCUUUAAAGAACCUGUGUGAGUCGUUCUUACAGGAGAGAGAUCAGAGAGCUUCAGAGGCUCUCUGCAGUCUGCACUCUGAGAAACUCAAACUCUUCUGUCUGGACCAUCAGCAGCCAGUGUGUGUCGUCUGCAGAGACUCAGAAAAA
Molecule: long non-coding RNA, 769 nt
Organism: Oreochromis niloticus (Nile tilapia)
Lineage: Eukaryota; Metazoa; Chordata; Actinopteri; Cichliformes; Cichlidae
Exons: 2
Source: RefSeq, a predicted model, not a curated record